GACCUUCCAAUUUUUAUACUUGUUUAUUCUGCGCAUACUGCAAGAAAACCAACCAUAAUGUGGACAAAUGCCACAUGUUACUUGGUUAUCCUCCUUACUAUAAGUUCAACAAAUCUAAGAAAUUAGUAUCUCAUGUUCACACUACUGUUGUUCCCUCUACUUAUACUCCAUCUAAUGUUACAAAUACAACCUCCACUCCCUCUUCAUCUAGAUUUAAAUCCACAUUCUUAUCUCAUGGAUUUAGUACAAAGCUAUAGGAUGACCUUCAAACUAUGUUUCAAAAAGCCAGGAUCUCUUAGGGGUAUAAAUUUGGGUUUGAUUAUUCAGAAGUGUCAGGAUUUGC
RNAcentral lists this long non-coding RNA (343 nucleotides) under Capsicum annuum. RNAcentral's name for it is "long non-coding RNA (CANN_LNC002932)". Lineage: Eukaryota; Viridiplantae; Streptophyta; Magnoliopsida; Solanales; Solanaceae. The record is from RNAcentral.